UACAAGUUGGUCUGAUAUGAUGGGAGCUUG
RNAcentral lists this non-coding RNA (30 nucleotides) under Mus musculus (house mouse). Lineage: Eukaryota; Metazoa; Chordata; Mammalia; Rodentia; Muridae. The record is from RNAcentral.